UCUUCGGUGAUGAUUAACACAGUGACUUUCGUUCUUCUGAUAUUACUGAAGCCAACAUUUCUGUCCUGAGAGGA
This is a small nucleolar RNA of Cyclopterus lumpus (lumpfish), 74 nucleotides long. The record is from Ensembl. Lineage: Eukaryota; Metazoa; Chordata; Actinopteri; Perciformes; Cyclopteridae.